GAAAUGCGAUAAGUAAUGUGAAUUGCAGAAUUCAGUGAAUCAUCGAAUCUUUGAACGCACAUUGCGCCCGCCAGUAUUCUGGCGGGCAUGCCUGUUCGAGCGUCAUUUCAACCAUCAAGCCCCCGGGCUUGUGUUGGGGACCUGCGGCUGCCGCAGGCCCCGAAAACCAGUGGCGGGCUCGCUGUCACACCGGGCGUAGUAGAUUUUUCGUCUCGCCCAGGGCGUGCUGCGGGUUCCGGCCGUUAAAAAGCCUCUCUUUUAACCCAAGGUUGACCUCGGAUCGGGUAGGAAGACCCGCUGAACUUAGGC
RNAcentral lists this unclassified non-coding RNA (309 nucleotides) under plant metagenome. RNAcentral describes it as "partial contains 5.8S ribosomal RNA, internal transcribed spacer 2, and large subunit ribosomal RNA". The stretch from base 1 to 105 matches the Rfam family "5.8S ribosomal RNA", at positions 50 to 154 of the family's 154-position model. The record is from RNAcentral.